This 673-nucleotide small RNA is filed under the name Arabidopsis thaliana (thale cress). RNAcentral describes it as "ATSL292880". The record is from RNAcentral. Lineage: Eukaryota; Viridiplantae; Streptophyta; Magnoliopsida; Brassicales; Brassicaceae.
AUAUUUAUCACCAUUAACCCCAAAAGAUUAAUUGAAAAGGAUAGAUUUGUAACAAUAAACUAGAUAUCCUCUCAAUAUGUACAACUUAAACUUAGGUCUCACUGAGAGUUGUCUUUAUGUCACAUUAGUGUUCCCUCAUAGCUCCAAGUCACGUUGGUUUACUCUAUGCGGCAGACCAACUCCCCUAACCCUUCCUCAAGAUGGUCAAUUCUUUGCUAUAGUCUAUCUAUCCUAACAAAUCGUACUAAGAAGUCGAGUGGCAACGUACUGGUCUGAGUCCUAGCGCAUAACUUUUUUUCUCCACGUCAUUGGAUUUCUGCCACAAUUGGUUCUAAUAUCUACACUUGCAUUUGUCGCAUAUAGAACACAGUAAUCCAUGGUAUCAUUAAAGCUUACAACUUCUUUCAACAGAGUAUAGAGUAAAAACUUCGUUGAAACUAUAAACUAUACUAGAAUUUGACCCGCGGUACACCGCGGGGCUAAUUUUUUAAGAAAAUGUAUAUAUUGAGUGAAAUUCAUAUUGUUGAAUUGUAGAUUAUGUAUUUGGGUUUACGGAUAUUUUUUUUGGUAGGGUGGGUUUACAUUUAUAAUAUCUGUUUUCUUAGUAUAUUAGUUGGUAUUACGAUUAAAAUGUAUAGUGUAUAUAAUAAAAGCAUGAUAAACUAUAUUAUGU